This 224-nucleotide unclassified non-coding RNA is filed under the name Rhizophagus sp. (in: glomeromycetes). RNAcentral describes it as "partial contains 5.8S ribosomal RNA and internal transcribed spacer 2". The stretch from base 1 to 65 matches the Rfam family "5.8S ribosomal RNA", at positions 84 to 154 of the family's 154-position model. The record is from RNAcentral. Lineage: Eukaryota; Fungi; Glomeromycota; Glomeromycetes; Glomerales; Glomeraceae.
GUGAAUCAUCGAAUCUUUGAACGCAAAUUGCACUCUCUUCGGAGAGUAUGCCAGUUUGCGGGUCAGAAUUAAUAAAAAUCGGUGUGUUGAUUCUUUGUGACGCUCUGGAGUUUGGGACAUCUUAAUAACCUUUAGGUUUUAAGAGGAUUAAAAUUGACUUUUUUUGCGCAUUUUAGCUGAAUAUAAUUUCUUUUUUUUAUUCGUCUGUUUUAUUACUCGAAGUA